CGAGCGGGGCCGGUCUGACCGUCGCGACCCUCGACUCGGACGACGAGCGCGUCUCGGUGUCGGUGUCGGUCUCGGCGGGGGGCGUGCUCGCGUGCUCUGUCGUCCUGGGGCCCGGCGCGGACGUCGUCGGGUCCACCGCGUGCGAAGACUCGGAGGAUGCAGGGCGGGGGGCGGAGGUGGUCUCUGGCGGGCGCGCGGAGGGGGAGGGGACGGUG
RNAcentral lists this unclassified non-coding RNA (215 nucleotides) under Hevea brasiliensis (rubber tree). Lineage: Eukaryota; Viridiplantae; Streptophyta; Magnoliopsida; Malpighiales; Euphorbiaceae. The record is from RNAcentral.